GAUGAACGCUGGCGGCGUGCUUAACACAUGCAAGUCGAACGAAGCAAUCUAACGGAAGUUUUCGGAUGGAAGCUAGAUUGACUGAGUGGCGGACGGGUGAGUAACGCGUGGGUAACCUGCCUCACACUGGGGGACAACAGUUAGAAAUGACUGCUAAUACCGCAUAAGCGCACAGGACCGCAUGGUCCGGUGUGAAAAACUCCGGUGGUGUGAGAUGGACCCGCGUUUGAUUAGCUGGUUGGUGGGGUAACGGCCUACCAAGGCGACGAUCAAUAGCCGACCUGAGAGGGUGACCGGCCACAUUGGGACUGAGACACGGCCCAAACUCCUACGGGAGGCAGCAGUGGGGAAUAUUGCACAAUGGGGGAAACCCUGAUGCAGCGACGCCGCGUGAGUGAAGAAGUAUUUCGGUAUGUAAAGCUCUAUCAGCAGGGAAGAAAAUGACGG
Molecule: ribosomal RNA, 447 nt
Filed under: uncultured bacterium
Lineage: Bacteria
Description: bacterial SSU rRNA
Rfam family: Bacterial small subunit ribosomal RNA
Source: RNAcentral